This 135-nucleotide small nucleolar RNA is filed under the name Salmo trutta (river trout). Lineage: Eukaryota; Metazoa; Chordata; Actinopteri; Salmoniformes; Salmonidae. The record is from RNAcentral.
UUGCAUUGUGGUAUGUCGGUGAAAGCUCAGCACUUUCUCUGAGUGUAACCAUCAUACCAAUGCUAGAUGAACCCCAUCUUGCAGAAGGGUGAGGUCUGACAGUGGCGUUCUCUCUUUCGAAAGUUGGGUACAUUA